Molecule: transfer RNA, 64 nt
Filed under: Japanagallia curvipenis
Lineage: Eukaryota; Metazoa; Arthropoda; Insecta; Hemiptera; Cicadellidae
Description: tRNA-Pro
Source: RNAcentral
CAUCAAGUAGUUUAUUAAAAUUUAAAUUUUGGAGAUUUACGAUGUCAAAUUUUGAUCUUGAUGA